This 497-nucleotide ribosomal RNA is filed under the name uncultured bacterium. RNAcentral's name for it is "partial 16S ribosomal RNA". It matches the Rfam family "Bacterial small subunit ribosomal RNA", at positions 28 to 507 of the family's 1533-position model. The record is from RNAcentral.
GAUGAACGCUGGCGGCGUGCCUAAUACAUGCAAGUCGAGCGAACAGACGAGGAGCUUGCUCCUCUGACGUUAGCGGCGGACGGGUGAGUAACACGUGGAUAACCUACCUAUAAGACUGGGAUAACUUCGGGAAACCGGAGCUAAUACCGGAUAAUAUAUUGAACCGCAUGGUUCAAUAGUGAAAGACGGUUUUGCUGUCACUUAUAGAUGGAUCCGCGCCGCAUUAGCUAGUUGGUAAGGUAACGGCUUACCAAGGCAACGAUGCGUAGCCGACCUGAGAGGGUGGACGACGAGAUAGGAAAUGAGACACGGUCCAAAAAAGUAAGGAGGGCCGCAGCAGGGAAAGUUACGAAAUGAGCGAAAGAUUAAAGGAGAAAAACAGCAUAAGAAAUGAUGGGAAACGAAUCAUAAAACUCUGUUAUGAGAGAAGAACAAAUGAGUAAGUAACUAGGCAAGUCGUGACGGUACAUAAUCAGAAAACCACGGCUAGCUACAUG